RNAcentral lists this long non-coding RNA (400 nucleotides) under Homo sapiens (human). Its description in RNAcentral is "HSALNT0015628". Lineage: Eukaryota; Metazoa; Chordata; Mammalia; Primates; Hominidae. The record is from RNAcentral.
CCUGCCCCCAGCAGGAGAGCAGUGACAGGAAACUCGCCCGGCUGGCGCCACAGGAACCAGCUACAGGAGACUGGCAGCCCCCAGGGCAGGGCCGGACACUACUGUUGGUGGCUGCUUUUGGGUUGGUGCUUCAAGGGCCUUGUGCCAACACUCUACGCAACUUCACCCGGGCCAGCGAGGCUGUAGCCUGUGGGGCAGAGCUGGCCCUGAACCAGACCGCCGAAGUGCUACAGAGGGCCAAGCAACCUCUUGUCAGUGCCCUGAACAAGAUUAAAGCUAUUGCCCGGAAGACCAAAGAGGUGGCUGACCGGGUCCGCAAGUUCUUUCGGUCAAUCAUGGAUGGUGUGAAACACAUAGCCAGGGCUCUCCGGAAUGUGUGGCAGUGGCUCCUGCACAUCGG